Molecule: ribosomal RNA, 503 nt
Filed under: Pseudomonas aeruginosa
Lineage: Bacteria; Pseudomonadati; Pseudomonadota; Gammaproteobacteria; Pseudomonadales; Pseudomonadaceae
Description: bacterial SSU rRNA
Rfam family: Bacterial small subunit ribosomal RNA
Source: RNAcentral
GGCCCAGACUCCUACGGGAGGCAGCAGUUGGGAAUAUUGGACAAUGGGGGGAACCCUGAUCCAGCCAUGCCGCGUGUGUGAAGAAGGCCUUAUGGUUGUAAAGCACUUUAAGCGAGGAGGAGGCUACUUUAGUUAAUACCUAGAGAUAGUGGACGUUACUCGCAGAAUAAGCACCGGCUAACUCUGUGCCAGCAGCCGCGGUAAUACAGAGGGUGCGAGCGUUAAUCGGAUUUACUGGGCGUAAAGCGUGCGUAGGCGGCUUAUUAAGUCGGAUGUGAAAUCCCCGAGCUUAACUUGGGAAUUGCAUUCGAUACUGGUGAGCUAGAGUAUGGGAGAGGAUGGUAGAAUUCCAGGUGUAGCGGUGAAAUGCGUAGAGAUCUGGAGGAAUACCGAUGGCGAAGGCAGCCAUCUGGCCUAAUACUGACGCUGAGGUACGAAAGCAUGGGGAGCAAACAGGAUUAGAUACCCUGGUAGUCCAUGCCGUAAACGAUGUCUACUAGCCG